RNAcentral lists this unclassified non-coding RNA (925 nucleotides) under Hevea brasiliensis (rubber tree). The record is from RNAcentral. Lineage: Eukaryota; Viridiplantae; Streptophyta; Magnoliopsida; Malpighiales; Euphorbiaceae.
CACAGAUAAGAAGUAUUUAGUUCGCUACUCUCAGCACAUUGCAACAGGGUAAGGUAAAACUAAAAGGAAGAAACGCCGACUAGCUCAUUCACUACCAAAACACAACAGUGAAUAAUCCUAGGUCAUCCUCUGAGCGAUUUCCUUCUGAAGGAGCCUUUCUUUGGCCUUUGUUUUGGCCUGAGACUUCGAUCCCAUGACACCACCUCCCCAUUUCUUCCGGAUCUCAUCAAAUUUGUCAUUGAAGUUGGCCUUGAUUGCCUCCAAUAUUUUGCUGAAUUCAAGUUUAUCUUCAUUCUUCACAGUAGUGAGGCACAGAGCGGCAGCAGUCUUCUUGUGCACAAUCGCCCCCAAGCGAGCCUUUCCCUUCACGAUACAGUAUGGGAUUUCCAUCUUCCUGCACAAGGCCGGAAGCCAGACCACAAGCUCGAUGGGAUCCACAUCAUGAGCAAUGACUACAAGUUGUGCCUUGUUUUGUUCAAUGAGGUACGUGAUAUGGUUAAGCCCAUACUUCACUACAAUGGGCUUUUUCACCUCGACUGUUUUACCUUCAGUUUCCGCCUGAGCCCUUUUGAGAAGCCUUUCCUUCUUUGCAGCCUUGUCUUCAGGCCUGUACUUCAAAAGCAUCUUGAACAAGUUUGUUGCGAGAUUCUUGUCAAGAGUCCUGGUGAACUGGUUGAUCGCCGGGGGGACCUUGAGCCGCUGCUUCAGGAUCCUGCGCUGGCGCUGGAUCCUCACUACCUUGGGCCAUUUCACAAACCUGUGCAGAUCCCUCUUCGGCGGCAGCGCCCCGCCGAUGCCGAACUGCUUCGCUCGCUUCUCGAACAACGGGUUCGUGAUCUUCUCCGGCUUCUUCUUCGCCGGCGCAGCAGCCUUCCCGCCUCGCUUCGGUGCCAUGGAUGCGGCUGAGAUCAGGGUUUGGGCCGGG